UACGUAGGGGGCAAGCGUUGUCCGGAUUUAUUGGGCGUAAAGAGCGUGUAGGCGGCCAAGCAGGUCCGCUGUGAAAACUCGAGGCUCAACCUCGAGACGUCGGUGGAAACCGUUUGGCUAGAGUCCGGAAGAGGAGAGUGGAAUUCCCGGUGUAGCGGUGAAAGUGCGCAGAUAUCGGGAAGAACACCCGUGGCGAAGGCGGCUCUCUGGGACGGUACUGACGCUGAGACGCGAAAGCGUGGGGGAGCGAACAGG
RNAcentral lists this ribosomal RNA (255 nucleotides) under uncultured bacterium. RNAcentral describes it as "partial 16S ribosomal RNA". It matches the Rfam family "Bacterial small subunit ribosomal RNA", at positions 524 to 776 of the family's 1533-position model. The record is from RNAcentral.